UACGAGUGCUCCAAGCGUUAUCCGGAAUUAUUGGGCGUAAAGGGUGUGUAGGCGGCUGUGUUAGUCUUCUGUUAAAUUCUUCGGCUUAACCGGGGGCAUGCAGAAGAAACGGCACAACUAGAGGAUGCGAGAGGUGAAUAGAACUCAUGGAGUAGGGGUGAAAUCCGUUGAUAUCAUGGGGAAUACCAAAAGCGAAGGCAAUUCACUGGCGCACUCCUGACGCUGAAACACGAAAGCGUAGGUAGCGAAUGGG
Molecule: ribosomal RNA, 253 nt
Filed under: uncultured bacterium
Lineage: Bacteria
Description: partial 16S ribosomal RNA
Rfam family: Bacterial small subunit ribosomal RNA
Source: RNAcentral